This 753-nucleotide ribosomal RNA is filed under the name uncultured bacterium. RNAcentral's name for it is "bacterial SSU rRNA". It matches the Rfam family "Bacterial small subunit ribosomal RNA", at positions 74 to 824 of the family's 1533-position model. The record is from RNAcentral.
CUGUAGCAAUACAGCGGGGACGGCGUGGCGCACGGGUGCGUAACGCGUGGACAACCUCCCCACGAGUGGGGAAUAACCCCGGGAAACUGGGGCUAAUACCGCAUACGCCUUCCUGGAUGUAGGUCCGGGAAGGGAAAGCUCGCAAGGGCGCUGGUGGAGGGGUCCGCGUCCGAUCAGUUAGUUGGUGAGGUAACGGCUCACCAAGGCGAAGACCGGUAGCCGGUCUGAGAGGACGACCGGCCACACUGGGACUGAGACACGGCCCAGACUCCUACGGGAGGCAGCAGUGGGGAAUAUUGCGCAAUGGGGGAAACCCUGACGCAGCGACGCCGCGUGGAGGACGACGCCCUUCGGGGUGUAAACUCCUUUCGACGGGGACGAAACCCCCGCAAGGGGACUGACGGUACCCGUAGAAGAAGCCCCGGCUAACUACGUGCCAGCAGCCGCGGUAAUACGUAGGGGGCAAGCGUUGCUCGGAAUUACUGGGCGUAAAGGGUUCGUAGGCGGUGGAGUAAGUCGACGGUGAAAUCUCCCGGCUUAACCGGGAGGCGCCCGCCGAAACUGCUUCACUGGAGGGCCGGAGAGGCGAGUGGAAUUACCGGUGUAGCGGUGAUAUGCGUAGAUAUCGGUAGGAACACCGGAGGCGAAGGCGGCUCGCUGGACGGUCCCUGACGCUGAGGAACGAAAGCUGGGGGAGCAAACAGGAUUAGAUACCCUGGUAGUCCCAGCCCUAAACGAUGGUCACUAGACGUG